Molecule: long non-coding RNA, 31753 nt
Filed under: Malus domestica (apple)
Lineage: Eukaryota; Viridiplantae; Streptophyta; Magnoliopsida; Rosales; Rosaceae
Description: long non-coding RNA (MDOM_LNC002118)
Source: RNAcentral
UACCGAUUUGUUGCCAUAGAUAUUGAAAGAAACCUACAAGAACAAAGAAAGAACAAGACCACAUGCAUUAGAAUAACAAGUGUGAGGUGUAUAAGCCGUUAGAAAAUAAAUUUAAAAUUCUAGUGCUGUCAAUACAUUGAUAAUAUAUAUAUAUAUAUAUAUAUAUAUAUAUAUAUGUAUGUAUGUAUUAUUUUUUCUGAAAAUUUAACUUUUCCCGUCCAAACUCAUUUUUCUAGUCUCUAGCCCAACAUAUAAUAUUUAUCUGAAUAAAACCAAAUGAUUAGGAUCCAACUAAGAAACUUACCAAAUUAAGUUUGUGUGUCCAUUUUUAUAUUUUUUGGAUCCCUAAUAUACCCCAUCUAAGCCAGUAUGGAAAGGUCUUGUAAUUUUGCUUUAAGUGAUUACGUGCAUUGAAUUUGGCAAGGUCUUAUAGCCAUGAAAUAUGGUUCUAGAUGGAGGAAUUAAUUUGGAAUUUUUUUUAAUUUCGACAACAAAUUUCAAUUUGAAUAUACCUAAUUUAGUGUUUAUUUUCAACAAUAAAUGUGCCUACUUUUUAAAUUUGUAACAAAAUUAAUUUACCUACUUUUUAUGGUAUUAGUGACACACCCUGUCCCGAAGGAGGGCAUGCUGGCCGUCACGAGAGAGUGACGUAACCAUUUGCACAGUACGGAAGCUUUAAGAUACAAUUUAUAAGUUGAUACACCCGAAGGUGAGUCCUAAUUUUUGUCCAAUCUGUCAGAACACCGUCAAAUUCCUCGUAGUCACCACACCUUUGUGAUUCCUGAACCUGGAGGGGCGCAAAACCAAAAUUGAGUGGGUCAGUAAAACAAUUCUUUUCCAAAUCCAAACAUUUCUCAAAACGUUGUAACCCUCUCCGUAAAACUUGUAUACUUUCCCAGAAAUGUAAAAUAUAAAUAUACAUAUAUAUUCUCAAACUUCAUUUUUACUAUCUCAACAUUUUUCUUUAUCAAACAUGCCAUGCCAUGUCUAAUUCAACAGUUAAGUAUGGAUGCAUCAACAAUAAUCAUAUCAGGUGCAAGAAAGUAAUCAACCGGAGGCCCUCUAAUAGCCCUGUACGGUUGAACCUAGAGCUCAAAAUCUAUCACUCUCACUCUGCCGGGAGUCACCUCUGUGACCUGUCCGGCCUUCUGCACACAAGUUACGCUCUAGUGCUUUCUCAUCAAUCAUCUGUGCACAUAAUCUAAGGUCACCCACCAGUCGAAAUCUCACUAACACUCUUCGACUGGCCCGUCGCACCCACUCCGCGUGGACUGUGCGACCAGCAUCUACUUGGAUCCAAGGCGAGCGUGCGAUGCGGUGAAUACUAUAAGCACUAAACCAUGGUGCAGGAUUUGAGCUCAAUAUAUAUCAACAUCAUCAUAACAGUACUUAAAUACUCACCUGAUACUCACCUGUGCGUCCGCCGCACCAAUUCAUACAUAUGCAUCAUAUUUCAAUUCAUAUCAUUUCAUGCAUGGCAAUUCGAUUCACAUUUCUAUAUACAUUUCAUAUACUUCUAUGCAUGACCUUUCAAUUCACGUUUUCAUAUAAUUCUAUAUACCUUUCAUUUAAAACAUAAUUUCAUUCUAAUUCAAUUUCUGGGAAAACGUCAAGUAUAUAUAUACGGAAAACAAAACUGCCCACUCACCUGGAGUUCGUCCAACAACUCCCUAGCACCACACAUCAAGGCGUCAUGACGAUCGCCGUCUAGAACAGUAAUCAAAUCCAGCCUCAGAAUUCAUAUCGAUAGAACAUAUAACUUAUAUAAAAUAUGUCACUACGUAGAUCGAUCCGGAAGAUCUGCCACUCAGAUUUUAAAUCCAUAACUUCCAGAGGUCCACAAUAUAUCUCUAGGAUAACAUCCUAAAAUUUCAUUACCAUCCAACGGUCGGAUCUCCGUCAAUUUCCAAAACUAAGUGACGGUUAACAUUUUAUUUUAUGAACUUACAAUUCUAAUUCCGGAAGAUCCGUAACUCGGAUUCCCAAUCCGUAAGUUCCAAUAAUCCUCAAAUAUUACGUAUUACAACGUAUCAAAGUUUGGUAACGAUCCAACGGUCGGAUCAUCAAUUCACAUUUUCACCUAAUGCGAAAACUAUAAAACGUUAUUCGAACACCUAACCAACAAUCCUUAAUAACUUUCUCAUACGGUGUUCAAUUUGGGUAUAUGAAUAUACCACAGUGAUCUACUCAUUAAAAUAAUUUUUUACUGUAGCACGCGCCCCCACGCGCCAAGGAAGGCACGGACCUACGCGCCCCCACGCGCACCUUCUUCUUCCUUGGGUCGCCGGACUGGUUUUUCCGGCGGCCGUUUUUCAAAUUGCCAUAACUUUGUCAUUUCUCAACGAAAUCAAGUGAUUCAAAAACGAAAGUUGUAGCCCUUGAAGAGACAAAGAGAAUGGUACCUUGCACAACACCUAGUUCGCCGUGGUUUGGCCGGAAACUGCUUCGAAAGCCUCGGAGGUCGCCAGAAACUGGGUAUUUUUCAAAUCAGUAUAACUUCUUCAAUACUCAACGAAAUUGAGUGAAACAAAAAGGAAAGUUGUAGUACUUGACGAGACGAAGAGAUUGAUACCUACCUCGACUCCUAACUCACCGGAUAUUCGCCGGAAAAUGCCUCGAAAGCUCCGGCCAAACUUUGAACUUGUCGAUCUCCGUGUUCUUACAUCCAAAAACUUCCAACGAAGCACUCCGAGCUUCCUUGGGACCUCACUAAGCUCGCUAUGAUCUUGUUUUAGCCUAAAACGUAGUCAUUUAGAAGAUCAUGAACAAUACCAUUUCACGGGAACUUUGAAACUAGGGUUUUCCGAAGCAAAACUUACCUGAAAUGGAUACCAUCGUGAUCGUGGAGGUUCCAGGAGUUUGAUGGUGGUCUUAACUCUGUCGUUGGUGGAAGUUUAAGGUUGUUUUGUGGUUGGUUUGUUCGAACGGAGAAGAAGAGUGACAGAGAGAGUGAGAGAGUCGUGAGGGAAGAGAGAGAGAGACAGCAUGCAGAAAAUAGGGAGAGGAUUGAGGGGUGUGGGGAUCCCACGUGGUCCUUUUCCAAUCCCCAACUCCAAACCAUAAAAUUUUAACCUAAAAAUCUAAGUUCAAUCCUUAAUAAAUUCCAUUUUAUUUUCAAAACUUAGGAACCUAGAUAAUUAUCAACUUGAGCUUCACAUACUUAGUAUUUCUUAAGGGCAAUUUCGUUCAUUCACAGCCACGAAUGUAAUAUUUUGGAACGGGCUGUGACAAUUAGUAUACAUAAAUGUAGAAUAUAUGUCCGUAUAUAUUUGAUCCAAUUAGUAUUAGGGAGAAUGACAAGUCAUCCAAGUCUGCUACUGUUAAUAAUUCUGUUACUGUAAAUUAACUGAUUGUAUUAGUUGUGAUUAGUUAAGAUAGUUAUAAAGUAGUUAGGGGUAUCUAUGUAAAUAGCCAAAGGCUAUAUAUAUUCCUACACAAUGUGUAAAGUUCUCAGUCAAGUAAAUACAAUCAAGAAAACUUACUGUUGAAGUUUUCUGUUUCUACAUGGUAUCACGCCAUUCCGCUUCACAGCUUCGAUCUUUCUCUUCGCUUGCUGCAUCGAUCGACUCUUGAUCGAUUUUUCUUCUCUGAUCUUCUCUUCGCUUGCUGCAUCGAUCGACUCAUGAUCGAUUUUUCUUCUCUGAUCGUCACUUCUUCCCUUCCGAUCUUGUAGUAUUUUCUUGAUUUCUGUCAGUAAUGGCGGCUCAAUCGACUGGUUCAUCUUCUCCGGUCAUCUCCCCCUCGAGCCCAAACCCUAAUUUUCUCUGGAAACCCUAAUUCCUCUGGAAAUCCGAGUCCUCUGACUUCCUACACUUCUCUCUCACAAUUCAUAACAUCGGCAGCAUGGUGCCGAUCAAGCUCAAAAGAUCCAAUUACCUACCAUGGCGCGCCCUGUUUGGCCCGAUUUUCCGGCGAUACAAGCUUCUUGGAGUAAUCGAUGGUACUGACGUCUGUCCAUCGCCAUUUCUGCCUGAUCGUAGCAUCAAUCCUGCUUUUGAGGACUGGUAUGAGAAAGAUCAAAAUCUUUUUGAUCUGGUUGAAUUCCACACUUUCUGAGGAAAUCAUCCCGUUCACGGUUGGGGUUUCAUCCUCUCGAGAACUUUGGGUAAAGCUUGAACAGCGCUUUGGUGGAAUUUCAGAGGCUCAUAUCCAUCAGUUGCGAUCGCGCCUUCAAUCUGUUCAGAAAGGAUCGCGUUCUAUCUCUGACUAUCUUCAAGAACUCAAGGAAAUUUCAGAUUCUCUGCAAGCUGCUGGUGCUUCUGUCUCUGAUCGAGAUCUUAUCGCCGCCACACUACAUGGCUUGCCUGAUGAAUUUGAGUCUUUCAUCGACUGUAUCAUGCUCCGAUUGUCCUCUACCUCUCUGAUGAACUUCAUGGCCUCCUUCUCACAAAGGAAUUGUCUAUGGCCAGACGCAAAACUGUCAGUUCAUCUCCUGUCCCUGAAUCUUUUCAGGCUUUCUCGGUGCAGUCUCAGCCUCAUCUCCUUCCUACUCCAUCUGCUUUUGCUGCUCAGAAUCUCCCUCUUCAAUCUGCAUCUCGGUUCAACUCUAAUCGUGGCAGGAACACUAAGGGCCAGUUCUUUUCCAAUCGAGGUCAUCGAGGUAAUCGUGGUAAUUUUCCUAAUAAACCGUGGCAAUCGAGGUUAUCAAGGAUUUCGCAGCAAUCAAGGCUCUUCUCACUUCAAAGUGCUUUGUCAAAUCUGUGGUUCUACCAGUCAUGAGGCUAUUGACUGCUUUGAUCGUAUGAAUCCUGACAUCUUGUGGUCGUAUUCCUCCAGCUAAGCUUGCUGCCAUGUGUGCCACAACAUUCUGCUAAACCAUCUCAGCCUUGGUUAAUUGAUUCAGGGGCAACCUCUCAUAUCACUAAUGAUGUUGCUAACCUCACCUCUCCUACUCCCUACACUGGCGAGGAUUAAAGUGUAUAUUGGAGAUGGUAAAGGUUUAUCCAUCCUCAAUGUUGGUUCAUCUACUCUGCACACCUCUCAUAAUUCUUUUCAAUUGCGAAAUGUUUUACAUGUUCCCCACAUAACCCAUAAUCUUAUCUGCUUAUCAGUUUUGUUAAUGAUAAUAAUUGUUCAUUGACACUUGACCCUUAUGGAUCCUAUGUCAAGGAUCGUAUUUCGGGGAAGAUGCUUUUACGGGGACCGGUUAGAGAUGGCUUCUAUCCUCUUCAAAGUUCCAGCAAUCUUCAUCCUCUUUCACAUACCGCUUUACUUAGUAUUAAAGCUCCAGUUACAAUUUGGCACAAGCGUUUGGGUCACCCUUCCUCCUCCAUUUUUAGAAGGCUCCUUUCAUCCAAUAAUCUUGCUUUACAAGGCAAGUCUACUGUGGACUUUUUCUGUUCGGAUUGUGCUCUUGCCAAGAAUCAUAAGCUUCCAUUUAAAGCUGCUACUUCAUCAUCAACUCACAGCCUUCAACUACUGCACUGUGAUCUGUGGGGACCUGCCUCAAUCACAUCAAGUAGUGGUUUUCAAUAUUAUUUGCUCAUUGUUGAUGACUAUAGCAAAUAUAGUUGGUUCUUUCCUUUGAAAUCUAAGUCAGAUGUAUUUUCUACAUUUGUUGUCUUCAAAUCAUAUGUAGAAAAUUCACUUGGAAAUAAAAUAAAGGUUCUGCGUUCAGAUUCAGGGGGUGAAUUUACUAGUCACUCUUUUGCAUCAUAUCUCAGCAAACAUGGCAUUCUUCAUCAGUUCAGUUGUCCCCACACCCCUGAGCAAAAUGGUUGUGCAGAAAGAAAGCACAGGCACCUUGUUGAAAACAGCUCGCACUUUGCUUCUUGCAUUCUCAUGUCCCUCAUAUUUUCUGGGUUGAAGCAUUCUCCACUGCUAUCUAUCUUAUUAAUCGCCUUCCUAUUUCUGGCAUUUCACAGUCCCCUUGGCAGUUGCUAUUUCACAACCAUCCAGACUACUCUAAGCUCAAAGUAUUUGGUUGCCAAUGCUUUCCUUGGCUCAAACCUUACUUUCAUAGCAAAUUGGAUCCCAAGAGCAAAAAGUGUGUUUUCUUGGGGUAUAGUCUUCAACACAAAGGCUAUAGGUGCCUUGAUCCUAUCACCAAUCGCAUCUACAUCUCUCGUCAUGUCUGUAUUCGAUGAAAGUACUUAUCCAUUUCAGUUGUCCCACAUUCAACACUCUUUUCCUGUUCCAAGUCCUCCAUCUUCCUCACCAACAAUUUCUUCCUCUCUGGAUCUUCAUUUUUUAGCAAACACAUUCCUCCUGUUUUCAGUCAGCCAUCUACAUCACCAUUAUGUGCUUCUGUGCCUGUUCCUAUUUCUUCAUCUUCAUCUUCCCCUGCACCUGUCUCAGUUGGCUCUUCUUUCCAGUUUUGUUCCUCCUUCAGCACAUUCAUCUUUCUCCCAAAAUCAACAGAGUCAUCCUCCUGCCCCUGUUAAUUCUCAUCCAAUGAUUACUAGAUCCAAGGCUGGUAUACUCACGUCGAGAGCCUGUGCAGCAACUAAGCACCCACUUCCGGUUGAUAUGGAUUAUGUUCCUACAACAUACUUGCAAGCUUCUAAGCAUGCUCAUUGGAGGCAAGCUAUGCAAGAUGAAUUUAAUGCCUUGCUAACCACUGGUUACUUUGGUCUCUUGUUCCUUCUCACCAUUCUCAAAACUUAGUGGGCUGCAAGUGGGUUUUCCGGAUUAAGAAGAAGCCCGAUGGCACUGUUGACAGAUAUAAAGCCCGGCUUGUGGCCAAGGGUUUUCAUCAACAAGAAGGUAUUGACUUUUCAAGAAAACCUUCAGUCCAGUUGCCAAACCGGUUACAAUUCGGAUCCUUCUUACCCUUUGCUGUGCAAUAUAAUUGGUUUCUCAAUCAAUUGGACAUUAGUAAUGCCUUUCUUCAUGGAGACUUAAAGAGAGGAUGUCUACAUGCAACAACCCCCUGGUUUUGUUGAUCCCUUUACCCUACAUUUUGUAAGUUGAGGAAAUCGUUGUAUGGUCUCAAACAAGCUCCUCGAGCUUGGUUUGAUAAACUGUUCCAAGCUCUUCCUCUCUUGGAUUCACCCAAUCAUCCUCAGAUGCUUCUUUAUUUGUUCUCAAUGGUCCUCAGUUUAGUCAUUGUCCUUGUCUAUGUUGAUGACAUUCUUGUCACCGGACCCUAUCCUUACCUCUGUCAACACUUCAUUCAGCAACUUGGGGCUCAAUUUCCAGUAAAAGACCUUGGUCCUCUUCAUUAUUUCUUGGGAUUAGAAGUACAUCGAUCUUCCCAGGGUAUAUUUCUCCAUCAAACAAAGUACUUAUUGGAUCUUCUCAAGAAAACAAAUAUGGAGGGUGCAAAACCUUGUUGUACUCCCCUUGGCUCUAAGAAAUUAGAUCACAGUGGCCCUCUUCUGUCCAAUCCUACUGAAUAUCGCUCCAUUGUUGGUGGUUUACAAUAUCUUACUUGGACUAGACCCGACCUUGCUUUUGCUGUGAACCAAAUCUGCCAAUUCAUGCAUGCUCCCAGGGAACAACAUCUCCAGGCAGCAAAAAGGGUUCUCAGAUUUCUCAAAGGCUCUAUCUCACAUGGUGUGUGGUUCACUAAAGGCCCUGUCCAUCUUUCUGCCUACUCGGAUGCCGACUGGGCUGGUUGCACAAUUGACAGGAGAUCAACCACUGGUUAUUGUGUAUUUUUGGGUUCCAAUCUUAUCAGCUGGAGUGCCAAGAAGCAAAGUACUGUUGCCAAGGUCCUCUACAGAGGCUGAAUAUCGCUCCUUAGCUCACACAGCUGCUGAGAUAACUUGGGUUUGCAGAUUCUCAAAGAUCUGCACUAUCCUCUCUCUUACAUUCCCUACUUUUGGUGUGACAACAUAUCAGCAAUAUCUUUAGCAUCUAAUCCUGUCUUUCAUGCUCGAACAAAGCAUGUUGAGAUCGAUUAUCNGAAGUUUUCUGUUUUCUACAUGGUAUCACGCCAUUCCGCUUCACAGCUUCGAUCUUUCUCUUCGCUUGCUGCAUCGAUCGACUCUUGAUCGAUUUUUCUUCUCUGAUCUUCUCUUCGCUUGCUGCAUCGAUCGACUCAUGAUCGAUUUUUCUUCUCUGAUCGUCACUUCUUCCCUUCCGAUCUUGUAGUAUUUCUUGAUUUCUGUCAGUAAUGGCGGCUCAAUCGACUGGUUCAUCUUCUCCGGUCAUCUCCCCCUCGAGCCCAAACCCUAAUUUCUCUGGAAACCCUAAUUCCUCUGGAAAUCCGAGUCCUCUGGACUUCCUACACUUCUCUCACAAUUCAUAACAUCGGCAGCAUGGUGCCGAUCAAGCUCAAAAGAUCCAAUUACCUACCAUGGCGCGGCCCUGUUUGGCCCGAUUUUCCGGCGAUACAAGCUUCUUGGAGUAAUCGAUGGUACUGACGUCUGUCCAUCGCCAUUUCUGCCUGAUCGUAGCAUCAAUCCUGCUUUUGAGGACUGGUAUGAGAAAGAUCAAAAUCUUUUGAUCUGGUUGAAUUCCACACUUUCUGAGGAAAUCAUCCCGUUCACGGUUGGGGUUUCAUCCUCUCGAGAACUUUGGGUAAAGCUUGAACACAGCGCUUUGGUGGAAUUUCAGAGGCUCAUAUCCAUCAGUUGCGAUCGCGCCUUCAAUCUGUUCAGAAAGGAUCGCGUUCUAUCUCUGACUAUCUUCAAGAACUCAAGGAAAUUUCAGAUUCUCUGCAAGCUGCUGGUGCUUCUGUCUCUGAUCGAGAUCUUAUCGCCGCCACACUACAUGGCUUGCCUGAUGAAUUUGAGUCUUUCAUCGACUGUAUCAUGCUCCGAUUGUCCUCUACCUCUCUUGAUGAACUUCAUGGCCUCCUUCUCACAAAGGAAUUGUCUAUGGCCAGACGCAAAAACUGUCAGUUCAUCUUCCUGUCCCUGAAUCUUUUCAGGCUUUCUCGGUGCAGUCUCAGCCUCAUCUCCUUCCUACUCCAUCUGCUUUUGCUGCUCAGAAUCUCCCUCUUCAAUCUGCAUCUCGGUUCAACUCUAAUCGUGGCAGGAACACUAAGGGCCAGUUCUUUUCCAAUCGAGGUCAUCGAGGUAAUCGUGGUAAUUUUCCUAAUAACCGUGGCAAUCGAGGUUAUCAAGGAUUUCGCAGCAAUCAAGGCUCUUCUCACUUCAAAGUGCUUUGUCAAAUCUGUGGUUCUACCAGUCAUGAGGCUAUUGACUGCUUUGAUCGUAUGAAUCCUGACAUCUGUGGUCGUAUUCCUCCAGCUAAGCUUGCUGCCAUGUGUGCACAACAUUCUGCUAAACCAUCUCAGCCUUGGUUAAUUGAUUCAGGGGCAACCUCUCAUAUCACUAAUGAUGUUGCUAACCUCACCUCUCCUACUCCCUACACUGGCGAGGAUAAAGUGUAUAUUGGAGAUGGUAAAGGUUUAUCCAUCCUCAAUGUUGGUUCAUCUACUCUGCACACCUCUCAUAAUUCUUUUCAAUUGCGAAAUGUUUUACAUGUUCCCCACAUAACCCAUAAUCUCUUAUCUGCUUAUCAGUUUGUUAAUGAUAAUAAUUGUUCAUUGACACUUGACCCUUAUGGAUCCUAUGUCAAGGAUCGUAUUUCGGGGAAGAUGCUUUUACGGGGACCGGUUAGAGAUGGCUUCUAUCCUCUUCAAAGUUCCAGCAAUCUUCAUCCUCUUUCACAUACCGCUUUACUUAGUAUUAAAGCUCCAGUUACAAUUUGGCACAAGCGUUUGGGUCACCCUUCCUCCUCCAUUUUUAGAAGGCUCCUUUCAUCCAAUAAUCUUGCUUUACAAGGCAAGUCUACUGUGGACUUUUUCUGUUCGGAUUGUGCUCUUGCCAAGAAUCAUAAGCUUCCAUUUAAAGCUGCUACUUCAUCAUCAACUCACAGCCUUCAACUACUGCACUGUGAUCUGUGGGGACCUGCCUCAAUCACAUCAAGUAGUGGUUUUCAAUAUUUAUUUGCUCAUUGUUGAUGACUAUAGCAAAUAUAGUUGGUUCUUUCCUUUGAAAUCUAAGUCAGAUGUAUUUUCUACAUUUGUUGUCUUCAAAUCAUAUGUAGAAAAUUCACUUGGAAAUAAAAUAAAGGUUCUGCGUUCAGAUUCAGGGGGUGAAUUUACUAGUCACUCUUUUGCAUCAUAUCUCAGCAAACAUGGCAUUCUUCAUCAGUUCAGUUGUCCCCACACCCCUGAGCAAAAUGGUUGUGCAGAAAGAAAGCACAGGCACCUUGUUGAAACAGCUCGCACUUUGCUUCUUGCAUCUCAUGUCCCUCAUAUUUUCUGGGUUGAAGCAUUCUCCACUGCUAUCUAUCUUAUUAAUCGCCUUCCUAUUUCUGGCAUUUCACAGUCCCCUUGGCAGUUGCUAUUUCACAACCAUCCAGACUACUCUAAGCUCAAAGUAUUUGGUUGCCAAUGCUUUCCUUGGCUCAAACCUUACUUUCAUAGCAAAUUGGAUCCCAAGAGCAAAAAGUGUGUUUUCUUGGGGUAUAGUCUUCAACACAAAGGCUAUAGGUGCCUUGAUCCUAUCACCAAUCGCAUCUACAUCUCUCGUCAUGUUGUAUUCGAUGAAAGUACUUAUCCAUUUCAGUUGUCCCACAUUCAACACUCUUUUCCUGUUCCAAGUCCUCCAUCUUCCUCACCAACAAUUUCUUCCUCUCUGGAUCUUCAUUUUAGCAAACACAUUCCUCCUGUUUUCAGUCAGCCAUCUACAUCACCAUUAUGUGCUUCUGUGCCUGUUCCUAUUUCUUCAUCUUCAUCUUCCCCUGCACCUGUCUCAGUUGGCUCUUCUUCCAGUUUUGUUCCUCCUUCAGCACAUUCAUCUUUCUCCCAAAAUCAACAGAGUCAUCCUCCUGCCCCUGUUAAUUCUCAUCCAAUGAUUACUAGAUCCAAGGCUGGUAUACUCACGUCGAGAGCCUGUGCAGCAACUAAGCACCCACUUCCGGUUGAUAUGGAUUAUGUUCCUACAACAUACUUUGCAAGCUUCUAAAGCAUGCUCAUUGGAGGCAAGCUAUGCAAGAUGAAUUUAAUGCCUUGCUAACCACUGGUUACUUGGUCUCUUGUUCCUUCUCACCAUUCUCAAAACUUAGUGGGCUGCAAGUGGGUUUUCCGGAUUAAGAAGAAGCCCGAUGGCACUGUUGACAGAUAUAAAGCCCGGCUUGUGGCCAAGGGUUUUCAUCAACAAGAAGGUAUUGACUUUCAAGAAAACCUUCAGUCCAGUUGCCAAACCGGUUACAAUUCGGAUCCUUCUUACCCUUGCUGUGCAAUAUAAUUGGUUUCUCAAUCAAUUGGACAUUAGUAAUGCCUUUCUUCAUGGAGACUUAAAGGAGGAUGUCUACAUGCAACAACCCCCUGGUUUUGUUGAUCCCUUACACCCUACAUCUGUUUGUAAGUUGAGGAAAUCGUUGUAUGGUCUCAAACAAGCUCCUCGAGCUUGGUUUGAUAAACUGUUCCAAGCUCUUCACUCUCUUGGAUUCACCCAAUCAUCCUCAGAUGCUUCUUUAUUUGUUCUCAAUGGUCCUCAGUUUAGUCAUUGUCCUUGUCUAUGUUGAUGACAUUCUUGUCACCGGACCCUAUCCUUACCUCUGUCAACACUUCAUUCAGCAACUUGGGGCUCAAUUUCCAGUAAAAGACCUUGGUCCUCUUCAUUAUUUCUUGGGAUUAGAAGUACAUCGAUCUUCCCAGGGUAUAUUUCUCCAUCAAACAAAGUACUUAUUGGAUCUUCUCAAGAAAACAAAUAUGGAGGGUGCAAAACCUUGUUGUACUCCCCUUGGCUCUAAGAAAUUAGAUCACAGUGGCCCUCUUCUGUCCAAUCCUACUGAAUAUCGCUCCAUUGUUGGUGGUUUACAAUAUCUUACUUGGACUAGACCCGACCUUUGCUUUUGCUGUGAACCAAAUCUGCCAAUUCAUGCAUGCUCCCAGGGAACAACAUCUCCAGGCAGCAAAAAGGGUUCUCAGAUUUCUCAAAGGCUCUAUCUCACAUGGUGUGUGGUUCACUAAAGGCCCUGUCCAUCUUUCUGCCUACUCGGAUGCCGACUGGGCUGGUUGCACAAUUGACAGGAGAUCAACCACUGGUUAUUGUGUAUUUUUGGGUUCCAAUCUUAUCAGCUGGAGUGCCAAGAAGCAAAGUACUGUUGCAAGGUCCUCUACAGAGGCUGAAUAUCGCUCCUUAGCUCACACAGCUGCUGAGAUAACUUGGGUUUGCAAGAUUCUCAAAGAUCUGCACUAUCCUCUCUCUACAUUCCCUACUCUUUGGUGUGACAACAUAUCAGCAAUAUCUUUAGCAUCUAAUCCUGUCUUUCAUGCUCGAACAAAGCAUGUUGAGAUCGAUUAUCACUAUAUUAGAGAAUUGGUUUUGGCUCAACUUCUCAAAGUCAAGUUCAUCUGCAGUGAAGACCAAUUAGCUGAUCUUCACACCAAGUCUCUGUCUAAAACCAGAUUUAAUUAUCUGUGUUCCAAGCUUCCCAUUGGUCUCAUUUCUGAUCCCCCUUCUCGCUUGAGGGGGUGUAUUAGGGAGAAUGACAAGUCAUCCAAGUCUGCUACUGUUAAUAAUUCUGUUACUGUAAAUUAACUGAUUGUAUUAGUUGUGAUUAGUUAAGAUAGUUAUAAAGUAGUUAGGGGUAUCUAUGUAAAUAGCCAAAGGCUAUAUAUAUUCCUACACAAUGUGUAAAGUUCUCAGUCAAGUAAAUACAAUCAAGAAAACUUACUGUUGAAGUUUUCUGUUUCUACAGGUUUUGGAUUGGAGGAGUUGACACAAAAUUAUAAAUAUAUUAAACAAAUUUAUCUAUUCUAAAGUUGGAGGGAAAUUGGCCUGUACAUUGCUACAGUAAUUUUUUUUUACCCAAUUUCACGUUAUUUACAACAAAGCUAUCAGAUUUGGGUUGGGUUGGAGGGUAAUUUGUUAAAAGUUAGGAGGGUAAUUUUGUGCAUAGGGUUUAGGUGCCCUCCUAUACAUGACCCUUGAUUUUACUUUAUUUACACCACUGCCAUCAAAUAUGUGGCUGAAUUGGAGGGUAUUAUUAAAAGUUAGGAGGGUAGUUUGUUCAAGGGGUGAGGGCGACAUUCGCAGACAGAGAGCGAUGGGAGCCAUGGCCAUUGCACAGAGAGAAAGGGAGUGAUGGGGGAAAUUACAGACAGAAAAGGAAGGGAUGGGGGGGAUUUGAUGGAUGGUCACAGAGAGAGAUUGGGUGAGGGAUGUGAGAGGAGAUUACAGAGAGAUAAAUAAAAGGGAGGGAUCGGGGGAUGUGAGGGAUGGUCAGGGAGAGAAAUAGUGAGGGAGGGAGGGAUGGGGGGGCUGAUUUUCGGUUCCUCCUUCCAGAUUUGUUCCGUAAAAACCUGUUGGGUAGAAUUCAAUUUCCUCCCCCUUUCCCCUGAACGAAAAAUUCGAAACCUACAACUCAAAACUCACUCAUUUGUCGUCCCUCCUUGGCUUUCCGCUUUACUCAUCUCCCGGUGGUUCUCUCUCCAUACGAUUCCAUUUCGGUGAGUUCUUCGUUGCCCUCAUGAUUUCCCACUUUUAUUUUUGGGGCGUCCUUAGUCGUCGUUUUUAUCUGGGUUUACUGCAUUGUUGCUUUUAGUUUCUGGAUUUUUAUUUUUUUGGCACUUGGAUGAAUCGUGGUUAAUAAUUUCACAUCAUGGGAUUUUCGCACUUCUGAUGGAAUUGAGCGCGGGGAUUCGGGGUGGGGUUUUACUGAUAAUUUGUCUUCAUUCAAACGAAGGGUUAAAAUUUAUGAGUAUUAACAAAUUUUGUAAAUUAUUCUUAUACAUUUUAUUGAGGGAUCUAAUCGAUUUCUUUCUGUAGUGGGAUUGAAAUUGGGGCUUUGUGGUACUCUCUCUCGCUCACUCUCUCUCCUAUGUGUAUGAAUUGAGUUCUGCAGUGAGUUUGCAGGUGGGCGCGUUCACUAACUAAGCUUUCAAGGGAACCGAUCAACGGUUUGCUUGCUGGGGGAAUUCGGAGACUACCAGUGUAUGAUUUAGUUAUCAUUAAUUUUUUUACUUAAUUUUAUCCAUAUAUAAUAUGUGGGUAAAUUUAGAGGUCGCACUUGGUGCGAUGGCAAGUUCCUUCGCCCAUGAGCGGUAGGUCUCGGGUUCGAGACUUGGGAGCAGCCUCUCCAUAAAUGGGGGUAAGGCUAGCCGACAUUUACCUCUCCCAGACCCUGCGUAAAGCGGGAGCCUUGUGCACUGGGUACGAUCUUUUAUAAUAUGUGGGUAAAUUUAUACUAAACAAUUGUGAUAAGCCAAUAUGCUAUACGACUUUGAAAGCAUUGAUUUUGUGUUUAGUUUGCAUUUUUGCAUUGUGAAUGUUGAAUUUUGUGUUUAAUUUGGAUUUUUGUGUUUGAAUUUGUAGCAUGAUCUUCCGCUGCAGCAUCCAAAUUUUGCAUUUGUAAAUUGUCAAAGAAAAACGAAGUAUGAGGAAAUUAUAGGAGAUUGUGUCGGCUUUGGCCAUGAAGGGUAUCAGCAGCUUGUUCCCCCAUACAGGUGAUUAAUCGCAGUCUGUUCUAUUUGGAUGAGAAAGUGAUUGAAAAAUAUGAUUUUUUAUUUGUUGGUUGAUUUUGUAUAACUCCGCCGUGUAAGUUUAUCUUACAUUGCCGGUCCCAAGCCCGGAUAAAGGAGGAGGGGGAGGGCGUCAGGUAGUCGACAGCUGGCACUCCAUGAUCACGUCGAAUCCUUAUGAAAAUGAAUCCAGAACGAAAUCGCGCUAAAGCUAGGGCGUCACCCAUAAGUGGCGCGCUGUGUGGCCCGAGCACAGUGAUAAGUGAGCAAGGGUCGUUGUAUCUCCAUCGGCACCCGGAUGCAGUGUUAAAUGAGCAAGGGGCUAUAGAAACUUCUUUUCGAACGACUCCACUCAAAGUUGUUUGGGAGCAUAUGCUCCUAUCAACUUUACACGGGACACACAAAAGAAGUACUUUGAUCCUAUUAGACGGGGAAGGGUGAAGAAGCUAGGACAGAAGGGUAGAGUUCAAGAGAGCAAAAUGCGUUUAGGAACGUGGAAUAUAGGAACCUUGAACGGGAAAAUCUAUGGAAGUAGUAGAAGUUAUGGUGAGGAGAAGGAUAAAUAUUAUGUGCCUACAAGAAACUAAGUGGGUUGGUCGUAAGGCAAAGGAUCUAGAAAACUCAGGGUUUAAACUAUGGUAUUCGGGCACAAAUAGAACGAGAAACGGUGUUGGCAUCAUCGUGGACAAGACCUUGACACAAGAUGUUGUAGAUGUCAAGAGGGUAGGAGAUAGAAUCAUGGCAAUCAAGAUUGUAAUAGGACAAGAACUUAUCAAUGUGAUUAGUGCGUACGCACCUCAAGUAGGGUUGGAUACGAGUUCGAAGGAGAAAUUUUGGGAAGACCUUGGAGACUUGGUGCAAGGAAUUGCUCAGACGGAGAAGUUAUUUAUAGGAGGAGAUUUAAAUGGACACGUGGGCAGGGAGACAGGCAACUAUGGAGGUUUUCAUGGUGGCCAUGGUUUUGGGGAGAGAAACGAGGAUGGGGAAGCUAUCUUGGAUUUUGCAAUGGCAUAUGAUCUCUUCUUAGCCAACACCUUCUUUAAGAAGAGAGAAGAACAUGUGAUCACCUACAAGAGUGGGUCGUCAAAAACACAAAUAGAUUUUCUUCUAAUGAGGAAAGGGGAUCGUAUAACUUGUAAGGAUUGCAAAGUUAUACCAGGAGAGAGCGUGGCUAAUCAACAUCGCUUGUUGGUGAUGGAUGUACAUAUCAAAAGAGUGAGAAAAAAGAACAAGACUUGGAAGUGCCCAAGGACUAGAUGGUGGAAUCUAAAAGAAGAAAAACAAGCCAUUUUCAAAGAGAAAGUAAUCACCCAGUGUGUGUGGGAUAGAGAGGGGGAAGCUAACCAAAUGUGGGAUUCCAUGGCUAGUUGUAUCCGAAAAGUAGCAAAAGAGGUAUUAGGAGAGUCCAAGGGCUUUGCCCCACACCAAAAGGAAUCUUGGUGGUGGAAUGAGGAGGUACAAACAAAGGUGAAGGCUAAGAAGGAAUGUUGUAAAGCCUUAUACAAGGAUAGGACCGAUGAAAAUGGUGAAAGGUAUAGAAAAGCGAAGCAAGAGGCGAAGAAAGCUGUGAGAGAAGCUAAGUUAGCGGCUUAUGACGAUAUGUAUAAGCGACUAGAUACCAAAGAAGGAGAGUUGGAUAUCUAUAAACUAGCUAGAGCAAGGGAAAAGAAGACAAGGGACCUAAACCAAGUGAGGUGCAUCAAGGAUGAGGAUGGAAAGGUUCUUGCUACAGAGAACGCGGUUAAAGACAGAUGGAAAGGUUAUUUUCAUAAUCUUUUCAAUGAAGGACAUGAAAGGAGUGCUUCUUUAGGGGAGUUGAGUAACUCAGAAGAGUGUAGAAACUACUCUUUUUAUCGUAGAAUCCGGAAGGAAGAAGUGGUUGUAGCUUUGAAGAAGAUGAAGCAUAGAAAAGCAGUAGGCCCAGACGAUAUACCAAUCGAAGUGUGGAAAGUUUUGGGAGAGACAGGUAUAACAUGGCUCACUGACCUUUUCAAUAGGAUUUUGAAAACGAAGAAGAUGCCAAAUGAGUGGCGAACGAGCACUUUGGUGCCUAUCUACAAGAAUAAGGGCGAUGUACAAAAUUGCAUGAACUAUAGGGGUAUUAAGCUAAUGAGUCAUACAAUGAAGCUCUGGGAGAGAGUCAUUGAGCAUAGAUUGAGGCAAGAGACACGGGUUUCGGACAACCAAUUCGGGUUCAUGCCAGGGCGCUCAACCAUGGAGGCAAUCUAUCUCUUACGAAGAUUGAUGGAAAGAUAUAGAGAUGGGAAAAAGGAUUUACACAUGGUCUUUAUAGAUUUGGAAAAAGCGUAUGAUAGGGUCCCAAGAGACAUUCUUUGGAGGAUUUUAGAGAAGAAAGGAGUACGAGUAGCAUAUAUCCAAGCUAUACAGGAUAUGUAUGAAGGAGCAAAGACUGCCGUAAGAACUCAUGAAGGACAAACCGAAAGCUUUCCCAUAACUGUAGGAUUACAUCAAGGCUCAUCCUUAAGUCCUUACCUUUUUGCGUUGGUAAUGGAUGAGUUAACAGGACAUAUUCAAGAUGAUAUUCCUUGGUGUAUGCUUUUCGCAGACGAUAUAGUGUUGAUAGAUGAAACUCAGGAAGGGGUAAAUGCAAAGCUUAACCUUUGGAGAGAAGUGUUGGAAUCUAAAGGUCUUCGCCUAAGCCGAUCAAAGACAGAAUAUAUGGAGUGCAAGUUCAGUGCAAAUGGAGGCCAAAACGAGUUAGGGGUGAGGAUCGGAGAUCAAGAAAAUACCAAAGAGCGACCGUUUUCGUUACCUAGGAUCUAUCUUGCAAAAGAACGGAGAAUUAGAUGGAGAUCUCAACCAUAGAAUACAAGCUGGAUGGAUGAAGUGGAAGAGUGCAUCCGGCGUGUUGUGUGACCGCCGUAUGCCACUGAAGCUCAAGGGAAAAUUUUAUAGGACGGCAAUAAGGCCGGCGAUGCUGUAUGGCACAGAAUGUUGGGCGGUGAAGCAUCAACACGUACACAAAAUGGGUGUAGCGGAGAUGAGGAUGCUUCGUUGGAUGUGUGGGCACACGAGAAAGGAUAAGAUUAGGAAUGAGGAUAUCCGGGGUAAAGUAGGAGUAGCCGAAAUUGAAGGAAAGAUGAGAGAAAAUCGGUUACGGUGGUUUGGACAUGUGCAAAGAAGGCCUACUGACGCUCCGAUUAGAAGAUGCGACUAUGGGACAGAGGUUCAGGGCCGAAGGGGUAGAGGAAGACCUAGGAAAACUUUGGAAGAGACCCUAAGAAAAGACUUAGAGUACUUGGAUCUAACGGAGGACAUGACACAGGACAGAACACAAUGGCGUUCUAAGAUUCAUAUAGCCGAUCCCACUCAGUGACUUGGAUUUUCCAAGUCUCCAACCGAGAAGUUUUCCUCACUCGGGAAAUUAAGGGAACACUACCUCAACCUACAUGCUCCACUCACAAAGCUUCAACAUACAAGCUUCAACAAAAGAAAAUUCAAAGAACUUAGCGAAGAAGGCUUUGGUGUAUUUAACACAAUACGUUGAAAUGAAGGAAAGCUUAUUUAUUGAUAUCCCCGAUAAGUUACAAAUAUGUACAUAUACUUGAGUCAAAAUAAACAAACAAGAGGGAGCCUUCACAAAGGUUGCUUAGGAGAAGUCUCAGCAGUCGGUAGAGCCCCAGAAAGAGAAGGCACCGGAGGGGGAUCAUUCGGAGCCUCAGUACUGGACAGAACCCUAGAAGGAGGAGGCAUCAGAGGUUGAUCAUUUGGAGCUUCAUUACGCGGUACAGCCCCAGAAGACGAAGGCAAUAAAUGCCUUUGGAACAAACCCACAAAUCUCUGAUGAUCAAGUAAAACCUGACCAUCAGAUUCCUUCAUCUGGUCAAGCUUCCUCUUCAUGUUUGUAGCAUAGUCAUGUGCGAGCCGGUGCAACUGUUUAUUCUCAUGCUUGAGCCCUCUAAUCUCCUGUUUGAGACUCAUCACUUCAGCCGCCAAUGAUUCAACUUGGCGGGUUCGAGCAAAUAGGCGUUGGGCCAUAUUAGACACAGAACCUGCACACUGAACACUGAGAGCCAGAGAAUCCUUAACAGCCAACUCAUCAGACCGUUUGGAAAGUAGUCUGUUAUCUUUGGGAGUGAGAAGGUUCCUGGCCACUACCGCAGCGGUCAUAUCAUUCUUCAUCACGGAAUCCCCAACGGUAAGAGGACCAGUAGGGGAGACGAAGGAUGGGCGCCAUAUGUUGUCUGGAGAAGGCGGGGCUGCCUCUUCAACAAGGUUCAAGUCAAAACGACGGUCGGAGGGGCCAGACAUUUUCAAAGGUGUUGAAGAGAGAAGAGGUCGGACAAAUCAAGAUCUUAGAAGUGCAAGAAUGGAGCUUCUACUGGUGGAUAUUCAAGUGUGCUUUGGAACUUAAUGUCAGCCCCUAUAAAAAUCUGCACUCGACGAAGCUUCAGAAAUCGAAGAGGCGCCUGCUCAGAAAUCGAAGAGGCGUUUGCUUUCUCAAAAGCUGGGCUGCUCAGAGACCACGAGGGUCGAUCUCAGAAAUCGAAGAGGCGUUUGCUUUCUCAAAAGCUGGGCUGCUCAAAGACCACGAAGGCCGAUCUCAGAAAUCGAAGAGGCUUGCUUUCUCAAAAGCUGGGCUGCUCAGAGACCACGAGGGCCGAUCUCAGAAAUCGAAGAGGCACCUACUUUUCCAGCCUUGUCAGCACCUGUCACACGCACACUCAGCUUUGCGGAAAUUAUGGGCAUUCUGUCGAAGAUUUCUGGCGAAGUAGAAAGCACAUGAAUCGUACUGUUCAAUCACCCACUUCCCACACGCAACAGUAGCUCAUGGGUACCACAGAUAACUUUGCCAAAGUUCUCUGACAAAGUUGAGACACGUGAAGCUUGCAGCUCCCACUACAUCGCUCUGACCAAGAAGGGUAAAAGAAUUAGCAAAGAAACAACACUAACAAAGUUUAGACACAUAAAUUUUGAAGGUCUAGCUACCAUAUUAUUACCCACAAGGGUAAAGGAACAGUACCACUGCUGGAUAAUUGGAAAGUCCCGGUGUGUCAACCUCUGUGCUUCGUGGCAAGGUAGACUAGCAAACAUGCCCAACCUUUACUCACAUUCGAGAAAACACUCCCAACAAGAUUGCUUGCUCCAAAAUCGAAGAGGCACCGCCCUCCGAAUCUCGAGAGCCAGACUCCCAACAUGAUUACUUUCUCAAAAAUCGAAGAGAGGGUAAAGGAACAGUACCACUGCUGGAUAAUUGGAAAGUCCCUGUGUGUCAACCUCUGUGCUUCGUGGCAAGGUAGACUAGCAAACAUGCCCAACCUUUACUCACAUUCGAGAAAACACUCCCAACAAGAUUGCUUGCUCCAAAAUCGAAGAGGCACCGCCCCUCCGAAUCUCGAGAGCCAGACUCCCAACAUGAUUACUUUCUCAAAAAUCGAAGAGAGGGUAAAGGAACAGUACCACUGCUGGAUAAUUGGAAAGUCCCUGUGUGUCAACCUCUGUGCUUCGUGGCAAGGUAGACUAGCAAACAUGCCCAACCUUUACUCACAUUCGAGAAAACACUCCCAACAAGAUUGCUUGCUCCAAAAUCGAAGAGGCACCGCCCUCCGAAUCUCGAGAGCCAGACUCCCAACAUGAUUACUUUCUCAAAAAAUCGAAGAGACACCGCUCUCCGAAUCUCGAGAGCCAGACCCCCAGCAGGAUUGCUUUCUCAAAAAUCGAAGAGGCAUCGUUCUCCGAAUCUCGAGAGCCAGAUCCCCGACAGGAUUGCUUGUUCGAAAACCGAAGAGGCACCACUUUCCCAACUUCAAGAGCUGGAUCUCCUUGGAUAAAGCUUGUCUGUAAUCUUCACACGCAACAUCAGCUUUCCAGAUACCACAGACCACUUUUUCAAAGUGCUCUGACAGAGUUAAAACAUGUGAAGCUGGCAGCUCCCACUACCGUGCUAUGACCAAGCAGGGUAAAGGAAUAGCAUUAUUACUUGAUGUUAGGGAGACUCCUAUAUAUGUCGACCUCCAUCCCCAACGGACAGGCAGACCUGCAAAAAUGCUCAACCCUUCCUCUUAUCUGAGAGGGCACUCCCAACGAAGCCUUUCGAAAUAUUCAGCUUUCUUUCCCCCCGAUAAUACCUCUGUAAACAAGCUAUACUAGAGCAAGAAUAUCUCAUAUCAUCAGGGUUAAAAGCAAGAGUAUCCCAUAUCAUGCUUUUUCCCUGUCUUUUCCUUUGGCCUUGUUCUUACCUGCAAGACAAGGAGAAAGAGAGCAAUCAGUCAGCACUUGGAAUCAAGCUUCCAGCCAGGAACUGACUGCCUGGAACCCCUUACCUGAUUACUUACCUGGCAUUGCUCUCGAGUACUCAUCUUCAACAUCUUAUGCUUCCAGGGAAGAUACCGCAUCUGCCUGAGGAACAGAUAGGGCAAGUGAGAAGGAUACAAGGAAGCAUGUGGAGACAAGCGUAACAGCACACGUGCCGAUACAUCCAUUACUCUGUCAAAAGCAAAAGUAUCCCAUAUCAGCAGGGUCGAACGUACUCUAGAUUUGAUGGACUUGUUUUGACCCUCAAAUUCUUCAGUCGGCCUUAUACUCUGGAGGAAACCAGAAAACCCUCCAGCCCAGUUCAAGAAUAAGCCUGUGGAAAGUUACUUCUUCAAAAGCAAAAGUAUCCCAUAUCAUCUCUUCUCAUUUUUCUUCUCUUUAUCCUUCAUGCUGCCUGCAAGAUAGGGAGAAUGUGAACAAUCAGCCGGAGCUCUGAUUGCUUACCUUGUCUGUCACCUCUUUCAGCAGAUCCCCUAGCUCGGCGACUUGGGGGACUCCUACUACAUGGUUUGUAUCGCGCUUGACCAAGCCUGAAACUACAAGUAAGCUUCAAGUGACAAUUGAUACAUUACCUUGUGCAUCUCCACCAGUUACAGAUACCACCCCUGGAUGGAGGAAGAGUACUUCCAGAGAAGAUGCCACAUCUACCUAUGAGACAGAUAAGGAAAGUCAAGACGAUACCACACUCCGGUACUUAGAAGUUUCGUGGUUACGAGAUCAUUCUCCCACAAUAUUUCCUAAUGUCAUUUGUACUAAAUCAUUCACUUGUACUCACUAAAGGAGAGCUUGAACCUAUGUACUUGUGUAAACCCUUCACAAUUAAUGAGAACUCCUCUAUUCCGUGGACGUAGCCAAUCUGGGUGAACCACGUACAUCUUGUGUUUGCUUUCCUAUCUCUAUCCAUUUAUAUACUUAUCCACACACUAAUGACCGGAGCAAUCUAGCGAAGAUCACAAAAAAGUGACCGUUUUCGCUACCUAGGAUCUAUCUUGCAAGAGAACGGAGAAUUAGAUGGAGAUCUCAACCAUAGAAUACAAGCUGGAUGGAUGAAGUGUAAGAGUGCAUCCGGCGUGUUGUGUGACCGUCGUAGGCCACUGAAGCUCAAGGGAAAAUUUUAUAGGACGGCAAUAAGGCCAGCGAUGUUGUAUGGCACAGAAUGUUGGGCGGUGAAGCAUCAACACGUACACAAAAUGGGUGUAGCGGAGAUGAGGAUGCUUCGUGGGAUGUAUGGGCACACGAGAAAUGAUAAGAUUGGGAAUGAGGAUAUCCGAGGUAAAGUAGGAGUAGCCAAAAUUGAAGGAAAUAUGAGAGAAAAUCGGUUCUGGUGGUUUGGACAUAUGCAAAGAAGGCCUACUGACGCUCCGGUUCGAAAAUGUGACUACUGGACAGAGGUUCAGGACCGAAGGGGUAGAGGAAGACCUAGAAAAACUUUGGAAGAGACCCUAAGAAAAGACUUGAGUACUUGGAUCUAACGGAGGACAUGACACAAAACCGAGCGCAAUGGCGUUCUAGGAUUCAUAUAGCCGACCCCACUUAGUGGGAAAAGGCUUUGUUGUUGUUGUUGUUGGUUGAUUUUGUAUGGACGAUGUAUUAAUUUUUUUUUUUUUUUGGGAUUUUGUGUAUUGGGUAUUGUGUAGAACCAGCAAUGCAGGAUCUGAUCAGUCACGCCCGAAAAGGGGUUUGUUUCUCAAAUCACAUUAAUUAAUUAGAUUAUUAAUGUGCGUUGGAAGGCUCUUCAAUAUGAUUUCUAAUUUCUCCUUUCCAGCAUUCUCUUUUUGGUUUUUGGAGUAUGUAUGUGAUUUGUAUUUGAUUAUAGAAUAAAAAUUAAUAAAACACGAGAUGCAGCAAUUAAUUUGCAUCCUUAUGACAACACAUAUAUGAAAGUGCAUUCAAUUUCAAUGUGCGAAUGUGUGACAGGACAGGAUGUGCCUGCCUGCUGGUGGUGGUAUGCUUGCUGUUGUUUCUUGCGUUGUUAAUUUUUUGUGUGUUGAUUUGAUUAACAAUUCAAGCGUAUCUUAUUUUUUUUGUGUUGGUUAGCAGCCAGUUUUAUGGCCCCGAUCUAGUGAUGCUUCUCAGUGACUGGUAAUUGCAGUUCAUUGCCACCAGUUGGUCAGCUACCUGCUCUGAAAGAGCUCUACGUAGAAGGGAUGAAAGUUGUUAAGAGUGUUGGUGUUGAGUUGUACGGGGGAAAUCAACCAUUUCAAUGUUUAGAGAAGGUAAAGUUUCGGGAGAUGCCAGAGUGGGAGGAAUGGCAGCCUAGUCCAAGUGGAUGUGAAAGUCCAGACUUUCCUCAUCUUAAGGAGCUGAGGUUAUCCGAAUGUCCGAAGCUGAGAGGAAACUUGCCCACUCAUCUUCCCUCCUUGAAAACACUUUAUGUGAACAAGUGUGAGGUUCUACAUAAAAACAGGGCCAGUAAUACCCUGAACGUGGAAUCCUUACGAGGAUCUCUUGAAAAACUGACAAUAAAUGGAUGCCCGGGUCUCUCAUUGUUACUAGAGUCGAUGGAGACGCUGCCGUCGCUUCAGAAGCUUGAUAUUGAUAGUGUUGGUGGGAAAGAGUUGUUGGUGCAAAUGGUGCACAACAGCAAUCGUCUUCAAAGUUUUGACUUUAUAUAAAUGUUCCUCACCCUUGUCGUUCCCUACAAAUGGUCUGCCCACCACGCUGACGUCACCGAGCAUAACAGAUUGCAAGAAAUUAGAAUUCCUAUCACGUGAGAUGAUGGCCAAAUUGACUUCCCUUCAGUCUUUGCGUCUAUCCAACAGCUGUGAAUGCAAAGGCUUGAGUAAUUUUUGUGAGUCUGCUGUUUGGUUUUUUUUUCUUCAUUUUAGAGAUUUUUCUACUGUUUGGUUUUUGGGUUUUGUCUAAUUUUUGUGGUCUGCUUUAUAGAUUGUUCUCUUUGGAAGCUUCUUUCCAGCCUUGACCUUCUUCUUGCCUGGUGCCUUCUCAUUGAGUAUUGGAGGAGCAUUAAAACACAGGUGUGUGUGUUUUGUCGAUGUAAGAGAUGAACGACAUAAAAACAUCCGUCUUUGUAUUUUUUUGUGCUUUUUCUAACCCAUCAAUUUCUUUUGAGUCAACCAAAUAGUCCCAAAUUGCAACUUAUGUUGUGAGGUAUUAUUGUCUAAAAUUAAGUAUGCAUGUAUAUUUUAUGUUUGUGCGCGCGCACACCUCCGCAUGGUGUUAAUCUCUGUGGGUCAUCUAUGUAUAUGUAGACAUAUCUAUAUGUGUAUGUGUGGAAUGCAACAUAUCGGAUUUAGGUUAUACUGUGCAUAGUUUUAUUGCCUGUUAUUAUCUACGAUAUCACUAUGCCAUUUCUAUGCAGGCUCUGAAAGUUAUCCAUGAGCUUUAUAAGCACUUACCAUAAUUUAAGCAGUCUGUUUUGGGUUCUUUUUCAUUAGGUCAUUAGCUACAGAUUAAUGGAGAAACGAGGACCAUGCAACUGAUUUGGGUUCUUUUUCUAAUUUUCUGAUUUUGGGGUUUUGCAGGGAGUACUGAUGUACUGAUUUUCUGGGAUUUUUUUUGUCCUUGCAGGAUUUUUGGUCUUUGGAAUGGGUAUGUGUUGUUUUUAACGUUUCAGUUCUAGCUUGUUCCGUUCUUCGUUGCUUCGUGAUUCUCAUUUUUUAGUGUUGGGUGAUGGAAAUUUGUUCAAGUAGUUGGUAGUUUUUUUAGAAAGUUGGCAUUUUUAGUUAUAUUUUCUGUUUAAUCCUAAAUGUUAGACUGGAAAAUCAUUGAAAUGACGGUUUUUUAAAAACUCAUAAUUUUUUUGUUCUGGGAGUUAAAAGCAUCUUUUCCAGAUUGGUUAUAAGGGUUAUGUUCUCUUCAAUUGGUUCACCUAAUUUUGAUUAGUUUUAAGUUUUGUCCUUUUAAGUUUUGUCUUUUAAGUUUUGUUCUUUAAGUUGUCUUUUAAGUUUGUUCUCUAAGUUUUGUCUUUUAAGUUUUAUCUUCUGUGCUGUAAUGAGAGAUUUCUGUUGGCCUUUCGGAUUUUGGCAUGGGAAAGUUCACUUAUUUGUCUAAUUAGAUUGUGUAUGCCUUCGAUUCUUUAUUUAAUUGUUCUGUUUGUGUUCAGGUGUGAUGAUCUAAAUUUCAUAUGUUUGGAAUUAUUCACUUAACACCAAUUUGUUACAUUCAGAUCUCCACCCCACAUUUCACUAGUUCAAAUUCCAUAGAAGUCGGUUACUGCAGAUUGCGUCUACAAUUAGAUCAGAGAUCAACUGCUCUUUUGUUAUCCUGCAGAAGAUUGCUUUUGGGAAGGAUCUGAAGUAGUUUCUUUCUGUAAGUUUAUUCCCAUGUAGCUCUGUCUUUUCUAAUUGAUGGUGUUGAUAUUACACUGUAAUUCAUGAUGAUGAUUUAAUUGUUUAUUGAUUUGUAAUUGUUUGUGAAUAAUGUGGCAUAUAUGACUUGCAAUAUGUGUUUGUAUGAAAGGGAUGACAUAUUAUGUUGCUGACUUAAUUGUUUAUGUUUUUCAUAUUUGCGAAUGGUGUUAUGAUCAAUUAGGUGAUUGCUGACCUGUGACUUUGUUUGGAGCUCAAAUUUUGUGAGCAUUACAUUGGAUUGUUUUGAUGUUGUUUUGGUUGACAAUGCAGGGAUAGGAGAAACAAAGAGGAUGACACUUAUAACUGCCCUUCCCCAUCGGCCGUCUUCAAAUUUGGAUCACAAGAAGGGAGCAACAUAGGUGUUUUCCUUCUUCAUUUAGAUAUGGUUAGUGUAAAUAAUUGGACAAAAGAGCCAAACAAACCCUGUUCUCUCAAAUGGAGUCGAUGAUGUGGUCGAUGGCCACCAGCCCCAACUCAAGAGUUUGGCCUUCAUAUAAUUGGAUUGUAGUAUAAUUUUAUUUUGGUUCAUUUCUUUUUUCCUUUAUAUAAGUGCAGGUGUUGUGAUGUUUUGAAUAAAGGGUGAUGAAAGGUGGUUCACACACUUCCUCCUUACUUAAAGCAAGUGGAGAUGAUGGGUUGUAUAAAAAGAAAAACUUGCCAGGUACUUCGAUUUUCUAUUUUAUUAAUUAUUGUUUGGUUUUCCAAAUGUUGUAUUCACAAAGAGAGACCAAUGAUGUCUUUGAGAAACAAGUUUCUUUGUCUACAUUGCGAGAAUUUGCAGUUUGCAACUUUCAUUGGUUAUUAUAUUUGAUUGAGUUAAACUUGGAUUUCUGGAUUUUGACUUUUUCGUUUGUUUCUUUGUUGUAGAGUUGGCUUCAUUUCAUUCCAGUAACUCUAUUCCAGUAACUCUCUAAAAUAGGGCCAAGAACUCACUAAAUAGGUAGUCAAGAGGAAUUCAGUUUUGCCUUCAAUUUUUGCCUUCUGUUUACAUUCUUCCUGGAUGCACUCUCACCGCUUCUCUCGCUUACCACUUUUGUCUCACUCACCGCUUCAUCUCUUCUGUUGCUUACAAGGUCGUGUCAUAUAUUUUUUUAAUUUUUGUGUGUUUAAUUUAUUGAAUAUUUGAAAAAAGAGAUAAAAUUUUCAAUUUACAAUUACUGAUAUGAUGUUUGUUUUGAAAAUCAUUAAGGUGAAUGGAGAGAUUUACAACCAUGAAGAGCUGAGGAGCCGUUUGCCAAAUCAGAUUUAUAAGGUCUCAUCAAUUAUAAAUAAACGACUUUUCAUUCCCAAUGACCUUUAUCGUUUUUCUUAAUGGGUUAGCUGAACAUGAGGUAGAUGCUGACUUUAUAAAAUAUGAGAAUGUUUUAGGAUUUCAUUCUAAUUUUUUGGCUGUUUGAUUACUUUGCUUUUCGUAAUUUGUUUUGCUUAUCGUCAAUUGGAUGGGACAACAUAUUUUUGUAACCAGUUUGUACUUUUUUUUUUUGUGGAAACUAACCAGUAUGUACUUUUACCAUCUCGGUUUUGAUGGAAUUGGAGCUUUCAGUAAUGGGUUCUGAGGGAAUUGGAGUUUUGAGUAAUGGGUUUUUUAACAACUAUAGUAUCAUUUGUGAUUCUUUUAUUUAUAAGAUAUUAUAUAGGAAACUGUUAUUAGCACUCUAAUAAUCUUAUUCUACACUCGCGACAAGUGUAUUUUUCUUUCUAAUUAUGGAAAGUUUGGAGUGCAAAAUGAGAAUUUUGGAGUGCCAAUAACAAUUCCCUAUUAUAUAUAGCUCUACUAAGAAGGCGACUGUAUAUGUCUUCAUCCUGUUAAAUUGUAUAUGGCUCUUGAUGUCGGCUGAAUUAAAUCAAAAUGAAAACCAAGCUGCUGAUCUUACCAGCCCAUAUCACUUAUCACUUAUUUAAAUUAUUUGAAGAUGCAUACGUGGAUUGGUGAUUUUGUUGGAUUCACUUAGCUCAAAUAUAUGUUAUCUGAGUCGCUACAUUUGAGAAUGUGAUUCUGUUCCUACCACCAUUUUGCCCACUUUUUGUGGAAAUUAUUCAUUCCUGUUGUGAAUAAUAUCCCCGGCAGCGAAGUGCGGGCGCAUUUUCUAGUUUAAGUUAAAUCACACAAUGGGUCAUCAAUAAUGACAAACUCGUCAUUUAUGCGAGUCAAACAUGAGACCACCUACCUACUAGUUUAGUGGAAUACCACAAGUGACAUGUUGAUACCUUUAAAUCUCAUAUAAUGGAUUGCAGAAUUAGGAUAUACCUAGUCUAAUUUAGUCAGUGCGUGAACCCGAACAAUUAACCAGGGUUUUAUUCUUGCUUGAAUGUUUGUAAUAUGUUCCUAGUUUGACAAGGCAAUUAUAUUUCCGACUACAAAAGUUAUUAAUUUAGUCGAGAAUUGACGCACCUGAAAUGGUGUGAGGAAAACAUGUAGACACAUCAGACGCGGUCCAUCCUGAGCAUUGUGUAUUAAGGAUAAAGCUCAAAGCCAUACAUGAGGGCAUUGUGUAUGUCUUUAUAAGAGAAGUUGCUGUAGUCCUCAACGUGGCCGGCAGCCAAACUCAUCCACUCUACACUGCAACCCUCAUCCAAAUCCCAUGCUUCCAACCUGCCCCCGACAUAGUCAUCGACCAUGACAUAGCUAUACGUUUUUGGUUGACUCGAAGAAGAAGAAGAAGAAGAAGUAUUAUUCAAGCAUGGAGCAGUGUCCACGUACAGAGAAGAAUUCGAUGGAUUCGAACACUUCAAGUAAUAUAUAGAUAGAGAAUUGAUGUCAUAGGUGGGCCAAUAUAGAGAAUCGAUGUCCUCGAUGGGCGGAAUAUUUUGAGACAUGGAAGAGCAAUUGUUGUUGUCAAGCCCAGGAUCUAGAAGUCGGAUUGUUUUGUUAAUGUAGUUGAUUGCCUGGACAUAGUAUUUUCCGGAAGAAGGUAGGUCUAGUACUGUAAUGUUGCUCUCACAGGACAGAGUAAACCUUACGUCGCCACAGUACUUUGGAUCAUCGUUCAGUCGAAAAGGAUGGCUUAUGUUGUGGAUAUGGCCGCAGGAUGAAGUGCAGGACUUGGCACUACUGUUGUCAGCGUUACAAGUUUCACUGCAAAAGCAAAGAAGAAGAAAGGCUAAACUUAAGGUGAAGGACCUGGUUCCACUGAUUUCCAUUGCUCUGAGAGAGAGAGAGAGAGAGAGAGGGCACUAUAGCUUAAACACCAAGGAGUUAUAUAAUAUGGGAGGGGUUAAAGCACCUCGCUUAAAGUUGCAGUAAGCCCGUCAAAUAUCCUAGGGAAAAGUCGGUCAAUGCUGUCCUAUAGAGAAAAGUCGGCCUUGAUGUUUGACACGGUCACACUCUCUCUCUCUCUCUCUCUCUCUCUCAUUGACGAGGGACACUGUAAUUGAAAAAAAAAAUUGUUAUUCAGAGAUAGAUCUUGAAAUUCUUAUUUUAUAUAAAAAAAAGGGGUAUUUAGAUUUUAGGACCUAUAUAAGAUAAUUUUUAGAUUAUAAGGUUUCAAAAUCUUAUUUUAGUCCCUAAUUUAAUAUUCAUCGCCACAUCAUAUUAUAAGAUACCUCUAUUACCUACCAUAUUUACAAACUUUGCCAUUUAAAUUGUCAACCUAUUCUAUAAUUAAGGCUUAAAUAUAUUCCGUUAAUAAACCAUUCGUCAAUAAGAUAAAUCCAACUAUGGUAAAUUAUACUAAUUUAUACUUGCUGACAAACAAAUUAAGUCUAUAGUAAUUUUAGGUCAGUCACCUUAAGAAGUCGAAGAUGAAAAAAUCAAAUACAAAACAAUAGGUUAAAAAAAUUAAAUAAUAACCCUUAAUAUAUAUAUAUAUAUAUAUAUAUAUAUAUAUCACAAAAAAAAAGUAUAACAACUCCUUAUUGUCUAUAUAUAGGAAUUGCAUAAGUGUCGGUACAUAUGUGUAGGUACAUACAUGCACAUAGGUACGGAAGUAUCGGUAUGGAAGUGCCGGUACAUACGUACACAUAGGUACGAAAAUAUUGAUACGUUAGCAUCGGUACAAAAGUAUCGGUGCGGAAGUGUCGAUACUUAUGUACAUAUAUAUAGGUACGCAAAUAUUGAUACAUAAACAUCAAAAGAAAAAAUCGGUAGAUUCGAUGUAUGAGAAGGUAAAAAUAAAUCAUCAACACUAGAAAAAAAUGAUAAAAGUAAAUCAUGCACUAUUAGAUGCAUAAGAAGAAGAAAUAUUAGAUGUGGAUGGUGGCCCUAGCCCUCUCUUCUAACACGGUUGAAGAUAAUUUUUUGGGUUGGACAAAAAGUUUCAUUUUUAAGGAGAACCAUUUAUGUUAGCAAUAAAACUGAAAAGUUAUAAAUAAAAUAAAUAUAAGACAUUAUAAUUCACUCAAGGAUAAUAUAGGAAGAAAAAAAUUACAUAAAAGGAAUUAACUCUGACAUUAAAUAUAAAUGCUGACUUGGACAUAAGUCAAAGGACUAUAAUUAGUUUUUUAUCUUGGUUAAGGUUUUAGUCUAAAGAUAAUCUUUUUCAAGGAUUAAUAUCUAGUUUCCUAUAAAAAAAAACACCUAAUAUUAAUCAUUCAAAUGAAAUUGUUAAAAUUAAGUAUAAAUAAUACAUAAUGAAAACUGAACACAUACAAUCAACGGUCACGACCAUGAAAUCCUCCGGAUCCUCAGAAAAAAAUCCGACGAUGAUCUUUUUCUGUGUAAAAUAAUUUGAGGGUAUAAUACUGGAUGUGCGAUUAAACCGAAGAACCCACCCACCUCCAUCUUCUCUGACCAACUUGAACCCAGCCACUACUACAUGUCAUCCCGACAACCCACUCUCAGCUUCCCAAACCGCCAUUUUUCACCCAAUGGAACAUUUAAAGAAAAAAUCCAUCUGCAAAUCGAAAACCACCGAAAAAAAUUAAAUCAGAUACAUUGGAAAAAACGCAAAACUCAAUGGAACAACACUGGCGUGGAAGAGAAAAAAAGCAGAAGGUGAGAAUGGAGAGAAAGAAGCGAACGGAAAGAAAAAGCAAAGAAGAGGUUGGAAACGGAACAACAGAAGAACAAUAGAAGAACAGAAAUGGGUAUGGGAAACGGAACAACAGAACAAAAAGCAGGCGGUGUAUAGAGCAAGAAAAGCAAACCUCACGAUGACCAACACGUGCUAAGAGAGGCCCCGGUUCACUGUGUAUCACAUUUUUUAAUAUUUUUUUUGGUCUUCCCACCGGCUAUACAUGGGAUUCCAAAAUUAAGAAGGUAUAAAUUUUUAUUGUUUCUUGUGCCACAAACCAUGUGGCCCAGUCUUAAUCACAUUUUUUAAAUAUUUUUUUUGCUCUUCCCAUCAGCAGUACAUGGGUUAAAAAAAUUAGGAAAGUAUAAAUUUUUAUUGUUUGUUGUGUCACAAACCACGUUGCCCGGUUUUAAUCACAUUUUUUUAAUAUUUUUUUGUCUGCCCACCAGCUAGGUUUAAAGAAUUAAAAAAGGACUAAAAGAAAGACUCCACAGAUGGAGGAACAUGGGAAUAGAAAGGGCAAAUUUGGGAUUUUACUGUACAAAAAAGACAAAAAGUAACUGCUGAAGACUAACUUGAGGGGCAUUUUGGUCUGCACACUGCCCUAGAACAGUAACCAUCGGAUUGGGUUUUAGUAUAUAUAGAAUAUGUUUAGAUAAGGACAAUAAACUUAGAAUUUUGCCAAAAGUCAGAAUUUAUAAAUUGAUACAAUCAAUUCAUUUGUUUGGAUUCAUAAACAUAGAAAUUUAGACUUUCCGCGUGAGAAAAAACUUGGAAUUUGGGACCUUCAAUUCUCAUGUUUAAAUUUCAUGUAAAUAGGUGUCAUUUAUAAAUUUCAGUAAGUGAGAGUUUAAAAAUAACAAACAUGUAUUCAAAUUUCAUUCCUCCUUUGGUUAACCAAAAAAGAAAAUUUAUAAAUUCUAGAAAAUAAAAUUUCUUUAUUUUAAUUUCUGUUAUUUUAAAAUUCUUAGGGCUUGUUUGGUAUUCUACUUGAAUCCAACUUUUUAAACUAAAAAAUAAUUUUCAAGUUUUAGGCCUUAAAAACUUAUUUGGUAGAACUAUUUAAAAAAACUGAACUUAAGACUAACUAAAAAAUAUAAUAUAUUAUCUAAAAACACAAAAAAUGAGUUUUUAGAAUUUUUAAACUUAAAUUCACUCAUUUCUUUUCUCUCCCUCCUCCCCUCUCACUCCAAAUCUCUCUCUCUCUCUCUCUUUUCUUCUUUCUCUCUCCCCUUCUCUUUUUUUUAACCUUUUUUUGUCUCUCAUCUAAUCCGCUCUCUUCAUUUUCUCGGUUCUUUCUCUCACUCAUAUUCCUCUCUAUCUCCUCCAAUUCUCUCUCUUCAUUCUUUUUCAACCAAUAAUUUCUUACUUUUUUCCUCUUCUCUCCUCUUGAUUCUCUCUCUUCAUUCUUUUUCAACCAAUCAUUUUUUACUUUUUUUCCUUCUCUCCUCUUUCUCCCUCGACUUCCUCUUUUUGGAUCUCUUUGUUCAGUUUGAGCUGUAAGAUUUAAAAUUAUUUUAAAUCGUAUACCAAACAAGUUUUUGAGUCUUAAAGAAAAUUGUUUUUCAAAAAAUGUUCUUAAGAAAUGUUUUGAGAAAUGAUAAAAAAUUUCAAAUAAGAUACCAAACAAGCCCUUAAUAAUCUUAAAUUUUCCCAUCCAAACAAAAAAUUUUCUUGUCAUAGAACUUUCAAUUGGAAUCAAAGAAGACAAUCUUUUCACAACUAAUUAUUCUCACCAAAAGCAAUUUUUAUUUUAAAGCAAUCAAUACCAAACUGCAAAAGCAAAGUAGGAAGGCUAAAAUUAAGGUGAAGAACCUGCUUCCACUAAUUUCCUUAGGAGGGAGAGA